UCCUUGCUGGCGCAAUGGUAGCGCAUCAGACUUCUAAUCUGGGGGUUCCGGGUUCGAAACCCGGGUAAGGAA
This is a non-coding RNA of Chaetoceros tenuissimus, 72 nucleotides long. The record is from the annotation of a GenBank genome assembly. Lineage: Eukaryota; Bacillariophyta; Thalassiosirophyceae; Chaetocerotales; Chaetocerotaceae.